Molecule: unclassified non-coding RNA, 234 nt
Filed under: Hevea brasiliensis (rubber tree)
Lineage: Eukaryota; Viridiplantae; Streptophyta; Magnoliopsida; Malpighiales; Euphorbiaceae
Source: RNAcentral
AAGGCAGAACUUGACAAGGUUGUGGAAUGUUAGUUACACUUGUCUUAGCAGAAUUCACAGGAGGGUUCCUGAGCUCAUAUGCUGUGCUCAUGCUAGGAGAAACUGCAGUUCCCUCAGAUUUUCCUGAUACACUAGCAGAAGCAACAGCAGCACCCAAUACCUUAUGAGAUGAUGCAUUCACCUCCCCAGUAGGAACAGAACUGACCUGCAAUUCAGUUCUCAUCUCUCCACCGA